Molecule: ribosomal RNA, 434 nt
Filed under: uncultured bacterium
Lineage: Bacteria
Description: partial 16S ribosomal RNA
Rfam family: Bacterial small subunit ribosomal RNA
Source: RNAcentral
AGCGAACGCUGGCGGUAGGCCUAACACAUGCAAGUCGAACGAACCUUUCGGGGUUAGUGGCUGACGGGUGAGUAACACGUGGGAACGUGCCUUUAGGUUCGGAAUAACUCAGGGAAACUUGUGCUAAUACCGAAUGUGCCCUUCGGGGGAAAGAUUUAUCGCCUUUAGAGCGGCCCGCGUCUGAUUAGCUAGUUGGUUGAGGUAAUGGCUCACCAAGGCGACGAACAGUAGCUGGUCUGAGAGGAUGAUCAGCCACAUUGGGACUGAGACACGGCCCAAACUCCUACGGGAGGCAGCAGUGGGGAAUCUUGCGCAAUGGGCGAAAGCCUGACGCAGCCAUGCCGCGUGAAUGAUGAAGGUCUUAGGAUUGUAAAAUUCUUUCACCGGGGACGAUAAUGACGGUACCCGGAGAAGAAGCCCCGGCUAACUUCGUG